This 258-nucleotide non-coding RNA is filed under the name Paenibacillus pectinilyticus. Its description in RNAcentral is "T-box sequence". It matches the Rfam family "T-box leader". From Rfam's summary of the family: Uncharged tRNA acts as the effector for transcription antitermination of genes in the T-box leader family. T-boxes are found upstream of many aminoacyl-tRNA synthetase genes and some amino acid biosynthetic genes usually in Gram-positive bacteria. The anticodon of a specific tRNA base pairs to a specifier sequence within the T-box motif, and the NCCA acceptor tail of the tRNA base pairs to a conserved bulge in the T-box antiterminator hairpin. Lineage: Bacteria; Bacillati; Bacillota; Bacilli; Caryophanales; Paenibacillaceae. The record is from RNAcentral.
UAAAAUUCAUUGACGAGAAAGAGUACGCUAAUCCCCUUGUUCCACAGAGAGUUGGUGCAUGCUGAAAGCCAACGUUCAAGACUUAGCUGAAAAUCCUCUCCGAGAAGGAAAGCUGAAGUAAUUAAGUAAGCUGACCCGGGUUCCAGCCGUUACAAAGGAUGCGUAUGAUGGUACGUAGUAAGAGGUGUCGUAAGAUCAUGUUCUACAUGAUCGUUACGGAACUAGGGUGGUAUCGCGAGAUGAAAUCUCGUCCCUUAU